GAUGAACGCUGGCGGCGUGCCUAAUACAUGCAAGUCGAGCGAACAGACGAGGAGCUUGCUCCUCUGACGUUAGCGGCGGACGGGUGAGUAACACGUGGAUAACCUACCUCUAAGACUGGGAUAACUUCGGGAAACCGGAGCUAAUACCGGAUAAUAUAUUGAACCGCAUGGUUCAAUGGUGAAUGACGGUUUUGCUGUCACUUAUAGAUGGAUCCGCGCCGCAUUAGCUAGUUGGUAAGGUAACGGCCUACCAAGGCGACGAUGCGUAGCCGACCUGAGAGGGGGAACGGCCACACUGGAAAUGAGAAACGGUCCCGACUCCUAAGGGAGGCAGCAGUAGGGAAUAUUGCGCAAUGGGGGGAAGCCUGAACGAGCCAACCCGCGUGGGUGAAGAAGGUCUUCGGGUUGGAAAACCCUUUUAUUAGGGAAGAAAAAAGGGAGAAAGAAACAAGGCAGUUCUGACGGGAACUAAUCAGAAAGCAACGGCUAACUAUGUG
RNAcentral lists this ribosomal RNA (497 nucleotides) under uncultured bacterium. RNAcentral's name for it is "partial 16S ribosomal RNA". It matches the Rfam family "Bacterial small subunit ribosomal RNA", at positions 28 to 507 of the family's 1533-position model. The record is from RNAcentral.